Long non-coding RNA from Clupea harengus (Atlantic herring), 388 nucleotides. Lineage: Eukaryota; Metazoa; Chordata; Actinopteri; Clupeiformes; Clupeidae. The record is from Ensembl.
GCCCAGACGCGUCGAUUUGGAUGAACGCCAAAUUCAGCCUGAAAUCUGAAAAAGCUGAAAUCUCGCCGAAUGAGAUCACGCUGAAGUACGCCAGACCCCCGGAUCUGUUUGAGGUGUUUGUGGAGAAUGCAGAGGAGAGCAUCGAUCUGCAGUUGAUCAGUGACGGUGACACCAUAUGGCAAGCAACAUUACGACGGGUCGAUUACAGUGAGCCCAGCGAUGUUGCAGGAAGUUCACUCAGGGUCUCUGCAGCCUACCUUCUCAUCCCAACAACAGCCAACAUAGAGACCCCACCGAGGGGCAGAACAACCGGCCGCUCAGAGCAGAGAAGGGAUGGAAAACACACAGAGCGAGUGUCCAUGGUUCAGAAGGAUCUCAUUAACAGAGG